GAUGAACGCUGGCGGCGUGCUUAACACAUGCAAGUCGAACGAAGCGCUUAAACGGAUUUCUUCGGAAUGAAGUUUUUGCGACUGAGUGGCGGACGGGUGAGUAACGCGUGGGUAACCUGCCUCAUACAGGGGGAUAACAGUUAGAAAUGACUGCUAAUACCGCAUAAGCGCACAGUGCUGCAUGGCACAGUGUGAAAAACUCCGGUGGUAUGAGAUGGACCCGCGUCUGAUUAGCUAGUUGGUGGGGUAACGGCCUACCAAGGCGACGAUCAGUAGCCGGCCUGAGAGGGUGAACGGCCACAUUGGGACUGAGACACGGCCCAAACUCCUACGGGAGGCAGCAGUGGGGAAUAUUGCACAAUGGGGGAAACCCUGAUGCAGCGACGCCGCGUGAGCGAAGAAGUAUUUCGGUAUGUAAAGCUCUAUCAGCAGGGAAGAAAAUGACGGUACCUGACUAAGAAGCACCGGCUAAAUACGUGCCAGCAGCCGCGGUAAUACGUAUGGUGCAAGCGUUAUCCGGAUUUACUGGGUGUAAAGGGAGCGUAGACGGUUGUGUAAGUCUGAUGUGAAAGCCCGGGGCUCAACCCCGGGACUGCAUUGGAAACUAUGUAACUAGAGUGUCGGAGAGGUAAGCGGAAUUCCUAGUGUAGCGGUGAAAUGCGUAGAUAUUAGGAGGAACACCAGUGGCGAAGGCGGCUUACUGGACGAUCACUGACGUUGAGGCUCGAAAGCGUGGGGAGCAAACAGG
This 748-nucleotide ribosomal RNA is filed under the name uncultured bacterium. RNAcentral's name for it is "bacterial SSU rRNA". It matches the Rfam family "Bacterial small subunit ribosomal RNA", at positions 28 to 776 of the family's 1533-position model. The record is from RNAcentral.